Small nucleolar RNA from Benincasa hispida (wax gourd), 107 nucleotides. The record is from RefSeq and is a predicted model, not a curated record. Lineage: Eukaryota; Viridiplantae; Streptophyta; Magnoliopsida; Cucurbitales; Cucurbitaceae.
AAGUCGUCAUGUGGACAGUCUCUUACCAACUUCUUAAACCUCGCCCAAGCAUCGCUGAGCAAUUCUUCAGUUUCUUGUUCAAAAUUCGUUAUUAAUUUCCUUUUCCU